This 431-nucleotide ribosomal RNA is filed under the name uncultured delta proteobacterium. RNAcentral's name for it is "bacterial SSU rRNA". It matches the Rfam family "Bacterial small subunit ribosomal RNA", at positions 958 to 1385 of the family's 1533-position model. RNAcentral also lists the same sequence under 1 other name. Lineage: Bacteria; Deltaproteobacteria. The record is from RNAcentral.
AACGCGAAGAACCUUACCUGGGCUUGAACUACUGGUAGUAAGUCUUUGGAAACAGGGACUGACCCGCAAGGGAGCCAGCAGAGGUGCUGCAUGGUUGUCGUCAGCUCGUGUCGUGAGAUGUUGGGUUAAGUCCCGCAACGAGCGCAACCCCUAUCUCAUGUUGCUACCUGCGCAAGCAGGGCACUUUUGAGAAACUGCCUUCGAUAAGAAGGAGGAAGGUGGGGACGACGUCAAAUCCUCAUGGCCCUUAUGUCCAGGGCUACACACGUGCUACAAUGGCCGGUACAACGGGAAGCAAUACCGUAAGGUGGAGCCAAACCCUAAAAGCCGGCCCCAGUUCAGAUCGUGGGCUGCAACUCGCCCACGUGAAGGCGGAAUCGCUAGUAAUCGCGAAUCAGCAGGUCGCGGUGAAUACGUUCCCGGGCCUUGUA